GAUGAACGCUGGCGGCGUGCCUAAUACAUGCAAGUCGAGCGAACAGAUGAGGAGCUUGCUCCUCUGACGUUAGCGGCGGACGGGUGAGUAACACGUGGAUAACCUACCUAUAAGACUGGGAUAACUUCGGGAAACCGGAGCUAAUACCGGAUAAUAUAUUGAACCGCAUGGUUCAAUAGUGAAAGACGGUUUUGCUGGCAGUUAUAGAUGGAUCCGCGCCGCAUUAGCUAGUUGGGAAGGUAACGGCUUACCAAGGCAACGAUGCGUAGCCGGCCGGCGAGUGUGACCGGCCACAUGGGGCCUGAGGUACGGCCCAGACGCCUACGGGAGGCAUCAGUGGGGAAUAUUGCACAAUGGGCGGAAGCCUGAUGCAGCAACGCCGCGUGCGGGAUGACGGCCUUCGGGUUGCAAACCGCGUUCGCCUGUGACGAAGCGUGAGUGACGGUAAUUGAUAAGGAAGCACCGGCUAACUACGUG
RNAcentral lists this ribosomal RNA (477 nucleotides) under uncultured bacterium. Its description in RNAcentral is "partial 16S ribosomal RNA". It matches the Rfam family "Bacterial small subunit ribosomal RNA", at positions 28 to 507 of the family's 1533-position model. The record is from RNAcentral.